AUGAGCACGUCGACGGGGCCACGGCGGCCACGCCCAGAGCGCCCAGCGGCUGCUCCCCAGGAGCGCGGGCGUAGGGUGGUGCGCGGCCUCACGCCCACGCCGUCGCCGUCUCCAUCGCCACCACCACCUCCUCGCAUGACGGUGGAGGAGGAAGCCCGUCUCGUGCAGCGUGUCAUGGAGGACUCCAUGCGCACGCACGACGAGCGGCAAUGGGACGGCUUGGAGGAGGCCAUGGCACUGUCUGCCGCCGGCGACGUGGCCUUCCCGGAGCUGCAGAUGGCGGCCUUGACGGAGGAGAGGAGGGAGGACGCCAUGGAGGAGGAGCCGGCGGCCGCCUUCCAGCAGCUGGUGGGCACGGGGUGGGCCUGGUCCUGCACUGCUCCGGAGAUGGCCGACUGCCUGGGCGUGGACUGGCGCGCCACUCCGCCGCAGUCACCGGAGUGGGAGGGGUCGCCACGGGAGGAGGUGUUGCAGGCACCUCCCGCCGUCCAGCCCGCCCCCGUCUACCAGGCACCGCACGCACCGCCGGCCCACCUGUGGACGCCGCCGGCCUACGUCGACCUCGUCAGGGACGACGACGACACCGGCGGCCAGUGA
RNAcentral lists this ribosomal RNA (597 nucleotides) under Triticum aestivum (bread wheat). RNAcentral describes it as "partial small subunit ribosomal RNA". The record is from RNAcentral. Lineage: Eukaryota; Viridiplantae; Streptophyta; Magnoliopsida; Poales; Poaceae.